RNAcentral lists this ribosomal RNA (468 nucleotides) under uncultured bacterium. RNAcentral describes it as "partial 16S ribosomal RNA". It matches the Rfam family "Bacterial small subunit ribosomal RNA", at positions 28 to 507 of the family's 1533-position model. The record is from RNAcentral.
GACGAACGCUGGCGGCGUGCUUAACACAUGCAAGUCGAACGGAAAGGCCCUGCUUUUGUGGGGUGCUCGAGUGGCGAACGGGUGAGUAACACGUGAGUAACCUGCCCUUGACUUUGGGAUAACAUCAGGAAACUGGGGCUAAUACCGGAUAGGAGCUCCUGCUGCAUGGUGGGGGUUGGAAAGUUUCGGCGGUGGGGGAUGGACUCGCGGCUUAUCAGCUUGUUGGUGGGGUAGUGGCUUACCAAGGCUUUGACGGGUAGCCGGCCUGGGAGGGUGACCGGGCACAUUGGGACUGAGGUAGGGCCCAGACGCCUACGGGAGGCAGCGGGGGGGAAUAUUGCGCAGUGGGCGGAAGCGUGAUGCAGCGGCGCCGCGUGCGGGAUGACGGCCUUCGGGUUGUAAACCGCUUUCGCCUGUGACGAAGCGUGAGUGACGGUAAUGGGUAAAGAAGCACCGGCUAACUACGUG